Molecule: ribosomal RNA, 1310 nt
Filed under: Salmonella enterica subsp. enterica
Lineage: Bacteria; Pseudomonadati; Pseudomonadota; Gammaproteobacteria; Enterobacterales; Enterobacteriaceae
Description: partial 23S ribosomal RNA
Rfam family: Bacterial large subunit ribosomal RNA
Source: RNAcentral
GUUAAGCGACUAAGCGUACACGGUGGAUGCCCUGGCAGUCAGAGGCGAUGAAGGGCGUGCUAAUCUGCGAUAAGCGCCGGUAAGGUGAUAUGAACCGUUAUAACCGGCGAUACCCGAAUGGGGAAACCCAGUGUGACUCGUCACACUAUCAUUAACUGAAUCCAUAGGUUAAUGAGGCGAACCGGGGGAACUGAAACAUCUAAGUACCCCGAGGAAAAGAAAUCAACCGAGAUUCCCCCAGUAGCGGCGAGCGAACGGGGAGGAGCCCAGAGCCUGAAUCAGCAUGUGUGUUAGUGGAAGCGUCUGGAAAGGCGCGCGAUACAGGGUGACAGCCCCGUACACAAAAGCGCAUGUGCUGUGAGCUCGAUGAGUAGGGCGGGACACGUGGUAUCCUGUCUGAAUAUGGGGGGACCAUCCUCCAAGGCUAAAUACUCCUGACUGACCGAUAGUGAACCAGUACCGUGAGGGAAAGGCGAAAAGAACCCCGGCGAGGGGAGUGAAAAAGAACCUGAAACCGUGUACGUACAAGCAGUGGGAGCCCCACCACUAAGCCAGUGGUGAACUCCACAUACGCAUCCUUUGCUGAGGAUACGGUUAACGGAGCGAAAGCGACGUUCAACCGCAAAAGAAGCAGAGGGGGCUUAGUGGUGGGGUGACUGCGUACCUUUUGUAUAAUGGGUCAGCGACUUAUAUUCUGUAGCAAGGUUAACCGAAUAGGGGAGCCGGAGGGAAACCGAGUCUUAAUUGGGCGUUAAGUUGCAGGGUAUAGACCCGAAACCCGGUGAUCUAGCCAUGGGCAGGUUGAAGGUUGGGUAACACUAACUGGAGGACCGAACCGACUAAUGUUGAAAAAUUAGCGGAUGACCUGUGGCUGGGGGUGAAAGGCCAAUCAAACCGGGAGAUAGCUGGUUCUCCCCGAAAGCUAUUUAGGUAGCGCCUCGUGAAUUCAUCUCCGGGGGUAGAGCACUGUUUCGGCUAGGGGGCCAUCCCGGCUUACCAACCCGAUGCAAACUGCGAAUACCGGAGAAUGUUAUCACGGGAGACACACGGCGGGUGCUAACGUCCGUCGUGAAGAGGGAAACAACCCAGACCGCCAGCUAAGGUCCCAAAGUCAUGGUUAAGUGGGAAACGAUGUGGGAAGGCCCAGACAGCCAGGAUGUUGGCUUAGAAGCAGCCAUCAUUUAAAGAAAGCGUAAUAGCUCACUGGUCGAGUCGGCCUGCGCGGAAGAUGUAACGGGGCUAAACCAUGCACCGAAGCUGCGGCAGCGACGCUGAUGCGUUGUUGGGUAGGGGAGCGUUCUGUAAGCCUG